This 68-nucleotide transfer RNA is filed under the name Marmota monax (woodchuck). RNAcentral's name for it is "tRNA.Ala". The stretch from base 5 to 65 matches the Rfam family "tRNA", at positions 6 to 65 of the family's 71-position model. Rfam says of the family: Transfer RNA (tRNA) molecules are approximately 80 nucleotides in length. Their secondary structure includes four short double-helical elements and three loops (D, anti-codon, and T loops). The record is from RNAcentral. Lineage: Eukaryota; Metazoa; Chordata; Mammalia; Rodentia; Sciuridae.
GGAUUGUAGCUCAGUGGUAGAGCACUUGCCUAGCAUGUGUGAGACACUGGGUUCUAUCCCCAGCACCA